RNAcentral lists this ribosomal RNA (255 nucleotides) under uncultured bacterium. RNAcentral describes it as "partial 16S ribosomal RNA". It matches the Rfam family "Bacterial small subunit ribosomal RNA", at positions 524 to 776 of the family's 1533-position model. The record is from RNAcentral.
UACGUAGGGUACAAGCAUUAAUCGGAAUGAUUGGGCGUAAAGGGCGCGUAGGCGGCCUAGUAAGUCAGAUGUGAAAUUCCAAAGCUCAACUUUGGAGCUGCAUUUGAAACUACUGGGCUAAAGAGGUAAGACGGAGAAAGCGGAAUUCCACGUGUAGCGGUGAAAUGCGUAGAUAUGUGGAGGAACACCUGUGGCGAAAGCGGCUUUCUAGUUUUAACCUGACGCUGAGGCGCGAGAGCAAGGGGAGCAAACAGG